This 468-nucleotide ribosomal RNA is filed under the name uncultured bacterium. RNAcentral describes it as "partial 16S ribosomal RNA". It matches the Rfam family "Bacterial small subunit ribosomal RNA", at positions 28 to 507 of the family's 1533-position model. The record is from RNAcentral.
GACGAACGCUGGCGGCGUGCUUAACACAUGCAAGUCGAACGGAAAGGCCCUGCUUUUGUGGGGUGCUCGAGUGGCGAACGGGUGAGUAACACGUGAGUAACCUGCCCUUGACUUUGGGAUAACUUCAGGAAACUGGGGCUAAUACCGGAUAGGAGCUCCUGCUGCAUGGUGGGGGUUGGAAAGUUUCGGCGGGUGGGGCUGGACUCGCGGCUUAUCAGCUUGUUGGUGGGGUGGUGGCUUACCAAGGCUUUGACGGGUAGCCGGCCUGAGAGGGUGACCGGCCACAUUGGGACUGGGGUACGGCCCAGACUCCUACGGGGGGCAGCAGUGGGGAAUAUUGCACAAUGGGCGGAAGCCUGAUGCGGCAACGCCGCGUGCGUGAUGACGGCCUUCGGGUUGUAAACCGCUUUCGCCUGUGACGAAGCGUGAGUGACGGUAAUGGGUAAAGAAGCACCGGCUAACUACGUG